AAAGUCGUAACAAGGUCUCCGUUGGUGAACCAGCGGAGGGAUCAUUACCGAAGUUACCUUCAAAACCCACUGUGAACCUUACCUCUUGCCGCGUUGUCUCGGCGGGAGGCGGGGUGCGUCAAGGCCCUCGGGCCGCGCCGCUCCCCGUCCCCGCCGGCGGCGCCAAACUCUAAAUGCACAGCGGACUGUACGUUCUGAUUUACAAAAAAAACAAGUUAAAACUUUCAACAACGGAUCUCUUGGUUCUG
Molecule: unclassified non-coding RNA, 248 nt
Filed under: Ascomycota sp.
Lineage: Eukaryota; Fungi; Ascomycota
Description: partial contains small subunit ribosomal RNA, internal transcribed spacer 1, and 5.8S ribosomal RNA
Rfam family: Eukaryotic small subunit ribosomal RNA (bases 1-47)
Source: RNAcentral